Molecule: long non-coding RNA, 658 nt
Organism: Amborella trichopoda
Lineage: Eukaryota; Viridiplantae; Streptophyta; Magnoliopsida; Amborellales; Amborellaceae
Source: RefSeq, a predicted model, not a curated record
UUUUUUCUUUUCUCCCUAGUCCACAUAGCUCUCGAAUGUUUGAACAGGCAGUUCUAAGAGGGUGUGUUUGAUAACACGGGAAGUUAGUUCUCAAAAGAUGGAAUUUGCUUGUUACUAUUCAUGUUCUGCGUUCGAUAAAGGAAGUUCUUUGUAGUGUAGCUCUUCCUACUUUUACGCUUUAAAAAAGUUCCUUGUAAAACCACAGAACUUAAAAAAGGAACUUCAUACGCCACUUCAUUCUAUGCCUCCCCCUCCUCCACAACUGCUCCUCCAUGCCUCCACCUUCGCCGCCUCCCCAACUGCUUCACCUCAUCAGAUUGUUGAUGAGUCGAUAUCCAAGAUCUGUCUUUUUCUUUCUUGCUAGAUGGGUCAAAGGUGCUAUGUCCAAGAUCUGUCUUUUUCCUUUCUUGCUAGAUGGGAUAAGUUAUUCUGUUCAUCACGAUAUAUAUCAUCUGUUUUGCUUUAGGUUGUUUUUUUGUCAAAAUUUAGUGUAUUUGAUCUGCUAUUGACAACUGAAGGAAUGGAUAGUUCAUGGCGUGAGAUUUAUUGAAGCACUUAUUUCUAAUUCUUUAGGGAGUUUUUCAUUUACUCUAUGUUGUCAUUUUAGGGCUUGAAUGAUUGUUAUGGGAAACUUGUGCUCUACAUUUUGCAAUUUUCA